UGUGUUUGUAUUUCUUCCUAGGCUCAAGUGUGUGGUUGUGAGAUCAUCUCGAAAUCCUUUUAACAGUUCAGGAACAACGUGAUGUAAAUAUGAGACGGGCCCUCGUCCUUCGUGCACUUCCUGUGUACCUGCGUGAAGAUGCCUCCAAGUUUUUCAGGACCUGUAAUUCAGCAGAUGGUCCAGACCUCACUGACACUCCGGUGGCUCUCCUGACAGUUGUCACUGAUGAUACUACUGAUGCGGCCCUCUUCAGCCCUGAGAGCAUCUGUAUUGUCGUGGAAGAUGAAAUACUUGUGAGUGGUCCCACAAACCUGGCUGACUCAUUUCUCUUGCUCUUUGGGUAUGUCUAUGCACUAGACCUACAGUACCCAAAGAAUCUCGAGCUUACAUUCACAUUUAUCCAAAAAGUUGUGAUGUGUCUUGAGGACAACAAACCACUGAAAGGGCGUCUACUGACACUGAAGAAUGAUUUGUUCAAUGAGUGAAUCACUCAGAAUGGACUAUUUGUUGAGCUGAGUAUUGAGGAUGUUUUUUGUUUUUUUCCCCUCUUUACAAAUGUAAUAAUUUGCCUCUUCUACCUCAUGUUUAAUAUGUUACACUGUUUGCCACUUCUACCUCAGAUUUAAUACAUUGAUUGUUAAUAGAUAAAUAUCACAACAUUGACGUAUUGCCAAGCCCAAGUUUUUGUACUGUACUUGUGGGAAACGACUGUUGAAUUCAUGCACUAUACAUGUUUAAUGUUGUGUGACCUAAUGCUUACCUUGAUGUUGCCAGUUGAAGUACGGCACAGUAGAAACCAGUACUUUUAUUUGAAUGUUUUGUUUAAAAAAAGUGAGUUGCAGCCUUCAAGGUACAGUAAGUGCCAAAACGUUUUAAAUGGCUCCACAUUCUAAUAGUUGUCAUUGCUGUUGAGGAUGGAUUAUAAUUAGAAUCUUAUUGAAUUUUAUCAUGAAGCCUUUGAGUUUUUAUCAUAAUGUUUACUGAAUAAUGUGAUAUGGAGACCCAAAAUACUGAAUCUACCCUCUGUAGCAAUGACCACUAUCAGAAUAUGGAACUAUUAAAACUUAAUGUACUU
Long non-coding RNA from Coregonus clupeaformis (lake whitefish), 1075 nucleotides. RefSeq lists it as uncharacterized. The record is from RefSeq and is a predicted model, not a curated record. The transcript has 3 exons. NCBI's taxonomy places the organism in Eukaryota, Metazoa, Chordata, Actinopteri, Salmoniformes, Salmonidae.